This is a non-coding RNA of Peptoniphilus duerdenii ATCC BAA-1640, 337 nucleotides long. It matches the Rfam family "transfer-messenger RNA". From Rfam's summary of the family: Bacterial tmRNA, also known as 10Sa RNA or SsrA, is named for its dual tRNA and mRNA-like properties. Its role is to liberate the mRNA from a stalled ribosome. The record is from Rfam. NCBI's taxonomy places the organism in Bacteria, Bacillati, Bacillota, Tissierellia, Tissierellales, Peptoniphilaceae.
GGGGGCGAAAUUGGUUUCGACAGGGGUAAUGAACUUUUAGUAGCGAGCAGUUGUUAGGAACAACUUAAAAAGCCUAAACAAAAAUAAACGAAAACAAUAAUUUAGCUUACGCAGCAUAAUAGCGUCAUCCGAGGUAGAAGGCCCACGGUCUACUAAGGGUGUCAAAUUAAGUGGGACACGAAACUUCGCAAUGGUUCUAACGAAGUGGGUAUUAAGAACCGCGCCUUGCAGCAGCUGUCAGUAGCUAACUGCUAUGGUCUAUAAGAACUGACUGCGCUCGGAGAGACUGAUUCGGAUUUACUUUUGGACGCGGGUUCGACUCCCGCCGCCUCCACCA